Rhinopithecus roxellana (golden snub-nosed monkey) is the source of this 2840-nucleotide RNA transcript. It is a transcript of the gene named spermatogenesis-associated serine-rich protein 2 pseudogene, with no coding region annotated. The record is from RefSeq and is a predicted model, not a curated record. The transcript has a single exon. Lineage: Eukaryota; Metazoa; Chordata; Mammalia; Primates; Cercopithecidae.
GCGGCGGCGGCGGCGGCUCUAGAGGGAGAGGUGAAGGAGGCGGAGGAUCUCUUUUCCUCUUCUCAGACCCGGGAGCGUCUGGGACGCGGAUCCCGGAGCUGGGGCGACAAGGCGAUUGCGGGGACCCGGGCUAGCUGCUGGCCACUGAUAUUCUACUUUCUGUCUCUAUGAAUGUGACUACCCUGGGUACCUCAGAUAAUCUCCCUGGAAAAGAAGACAUGAAUAUCUGCAAUGAUACUUCCUGAUAAGAAGUCGAUACAAGAAAAGGAAAGGAGAUUGACAGCUAGUGAGCAGAAUUUCCAACAGCAGGAUUUCGUAUUUUUUGCUUCCAACUGCACACUUCCAUUGCCCACUUUUGAAUCAGAGAUACCUACACAAAAUCCAGACAAGGCAAAAGGAUACUUUUCUUGUAUAUUUUUUGAGAAAUAUACAUCUAAUAAAAUCUAAGAAACGACAAUGUCCAGGAAACAGAGCCAGAAGGAUUCAUCAGGAUUCAUCUUUGAUUUGCAGUCCAAUACUGUACUGGCCCAGGGAGGGGCUUUUGAGAACAUGAAAGAGAAGAUAAAUGCGGUACGUGCAAUAGUUCCCAAUAAGAGCAACAAUGAAAUCAUCCUGGUUUUGCAGCACUUUGAUAACUGUGUGGACAAAACAGUACAAGCAUUCAUGGAAGGUAGUGCCAGUGAAGUACUCAAAGAAUGGACAGUAACAGGCAAGAGAAAGAACAAAAAGAAGAAAAACAAACCGAAACCUGCCGCAGAACCGAGUAACAGCAUCCCAGAUUCUAGCAAAUCAGUUUCCAUUCAAGAGGAAGAGUCUGCGCCUUCCUCAGAAAAAGGUGGUAUGAAUGGCUACCAUGUCAAUGGUGCCAUCAAUGACAGUGAGUCUGUGGACUCACUCAGUGAAGGUUUGGAGACACUUUCAGUAGAUGCCAGAGAAUUAGAGGAUCCCGAGUCUGCCAUGCUAGAUACGCCGGAUAGAACGGGAUCCAUGCUGCAGAAUGGUGUCUCUGAUUUUGAGACCAAGUCUUUGACUAUGCACUGUAUUCAGAAUUCUCAGCAACCCAGGAGUGCUGCCAAAUCUCUCUCAAGACCUACCACAGAAACUCAGUUUUCAGCUAUGGAGAUGGAAGAUGUUCCCCUCUCCACCAAUAAAAAGCUAAGUUCCAAUAUUGAAAAAUCUGUGAAAGACCUCCAGCGCUGCACAGUGUCUCUUGCACGGUAUCGAGUUGUAGUUAAAGAAGAGAUGGAUGCUUCCAUUAAGAAAAUGAAACAAGCCUUUGCUGAAUUGGAGAGCUGUUUAAUGGAUCGAGAAGUGGCGUUGCUUGCUGAAAUGGACAAAGUGAAAGCUGAAGCAAUGGAAAUUUUGCUCAGCCGACAAAAGAAGGCUGAACUUCUAAAGAAGAUGACUCAUGUGGCUGUUCAAAUGUCAGAGCAGCAAUUGGUUGAGCUCAGAGCUGAUAUCAAGCACUUUGUUAGUGAACGUAAAUACGAUGAGGAUCUGGGACGAGUAGCCCGGUUCACCUGUGAUGUAGAGACCUUAAAGAAGAGCAUUGAUUCAUUUGGACAAGUGUCUCAUCCAAAGAACAGCUAUUCAACCAGAUCCCGAUGUAGCUCAGUUACAUCUGUGUCCUUGAGUAGCCCAAGUGAUGCCUCUGCUGCUUCCUCUUCCACCUGUGCCUCUCCUCCCAGCCUUACAAGUGCUAACAAGAAAAACUUUGCACCGGGAGAGACUCCUGCAGCCAUAGCAAACUCCAGUGGCCAGCUCUACCAGCCACUUCGGGAGGUAUUGCCAGGGAACAGACGAGGACAAGGCUACAGGCCACAAGGCCAAAAGUCCAAUGACCCCAUGAACCAAGGGCGGCAUGACAGUAUGGGUCGUUACAGAAACAGCUCGUGGUAUUCAUCUGGUUCCAGGUAUCACAGUGCUCCAUCUCAGGCACCAGAAAACACCAGUGAAAGAGGCCAGACUCACUCUGCAGGGACCCAAGGAACUGGAGUCAGCAUGGAGCCAAGCCCUCCCAUGCCUUCAUUCAAAAAGGGGCUCCCCCAGCGCAAACCCAGGACCUCUCAGACUGAAGCUGUGAACUCUUGAGAGAAAUUCCAGUUGGCCUCUCUCCUCUCUCCACACAAUUCAACUUGAUAACUGGACUUUAGGAAACUUAUAGUUAGAUUUAAUAACAAAAAGAAGUUUAUGUGUAUUGCUUUUUGUGCCAUUCUAAAUAUUGUUAGUUUCUUGUCUCCUUAUUUCCUCUUUACCAUUUUGGAGGAGGCUAUUUUUUUCCUUGAUCUUUCCCAGUGAUAUGGAUUGAAUCUGGUUGGUCAUUUCCACCAGGAAUCAGAGGCAGCUGUUACCAGGUUUCGGCCUUCCAGUUGACCCCUCCACUGUCCAGGCUGUCUCAGGAGGAGGUGAAUCAGAGCUAGUCUGUCACCUUUCCAAUCUAAGCAGAAGCCACAGGUGCCUGACAGGUUCCCUUCAACCAUUUGACCAAGAGAGGCAAUGAGGGGAUCAUACGCUGCACUGGAUUUGCCAGAGAAGGGAAAAUUUAAUUAGUGAAAAGGAAAGAACACUAGGAAACAUUUGAGAACCUGCCUCUAUCCCAGAACGUGCCUGAGAUUUGACACUCAAAUCAGUGUUUAGUCUUCUGCUUGGCACCAUAGCUCAACCUGCAGUUUCUUCAAAAUGCCCAAUGCCUUGUUUCCUAUUACCUUAGAUUGCAAACCAGUCUAGGGAAGUCUAUGGGAAAAUAGCAUUUAAUUAAAGUUUAAAAAAAAAAAAAAAAGAUUGGGUGCAGUGGCUCACGCCUGUAAUCCCAGCACUUUGGGAGGCUGAGGCGAGUGGAU